This 1198-nucleotide ribosomal RNA is filed under the name metagenome. RNAcentral describes it as "bacterial SSU rRNA". It matches the Rfam family "Eukaryotic small subunit ribosomal RNA", at positions 683 to 1790 of the family's 1831-position model. The record is from RNAcentral.
CAUGCGGUGGACACUUGCUUGUUGCUUUAGGGGGGUGUUUUUUUGGGGCAACCCGAGGACACCACCCGGCGGCAGGGGAAAGGCCACUGCGGGCGGGGCCCAUUUAUAUUUCUCGAAGACGUCACGGGCCCUUAACUGGUGUACUGUGGUCGCGGAUUCGAGACGUUUACUUUGAAAAAAUUAGAGUGUUCAAAGCAGGCAAUCAAAAACGCUUGAAUACAUUAGCAUGGAAUAAUGGAAUAGGACUUUGGUCUUAUUUUGUUGGUUUCUAGGACUGAAGUAAUGAUUAAUAGGGACAGUUGGGGGCAUUCGUAUUUAAUUGUCAGAGGUGAAAUUCUUGGAUUUAUGAAAGACGAACUUCUGCGAAAGCAUUUGCCAAGGAUGUUUUCAUUAAUCAAGAACGAAAGUUAGGGGAUCGAAGACGAUUAGAUACCGUCGUAGUCCUAACCAUAAACUAUGCCGACUAGGGAUCAGUGGGGAACAAAUCAAAAAACUCCAUUGGCACCUUAUGAGAAAUCAAAGUUUUUGGGUUCUGAGGAAAGUACCAACGCAAGUUGGAAACUUAAAGGAAUUGACGGAAGGGCACACCAGGCGUGGAAUCUGCGGCUUAAUUUGACAACACGGGGAAACUCACCAGGUCCAGACAAAAUAAGGAUUGACAGAUUGAGAGCUCUUUCUUGAUUUUUGGGCAGUGGUGCAUGGCCGUUCUUAGUUGGUGGAGCGAUCUGUCUGGUUAAUUCCGAUAACGAACGAGACCUUAACCUGCUAAAUAGCGACGUCAUUCCUUGUGAAGGACGGAUUUUGACUUCUUAGAGGGACUAUCGGUGACUAACCGAUGGAAGUUUGAGGCAAUAACAGGUCUGUGAUGCCCUUAGAUGUUCUGGGCCGCACGCGCGUUACACUGACAGAGGCAGCGAGUUUUUUUAAAUAUCCUGGCCUGGAAAGGUUUGGGUAAUCUUGUGAAUCUCUGUCGUGAUGGGGAUAGAUCUUUGUAAUUAUCGAUCUUCAACGAGGAAUGCCUUGUAAUCGCGGUUCAUCAAAUCGCGUUGACUACGUCCCUGCCCUUUGUACACACCGCCCGUCGCUACUACCGAUUGAAUGGUUUAGUGAGGUCUCAGGACUGGCGCGGCUUGGCUGUAAAAGGCCGAUCCAUGCUGGGAACUUGCCCAAACUUGAUCAUUUAGAGGAAGUAAAAGUC